AGCGAACGCUGGCGGCAGGCUUAACACAUGCCAGUCGAGCGGGCACUUUCGGGUGUCAGCGGCGGACGGGUGAGUAACGCGUGGGAACGUGCCCUCUGGUUCGGAAUAACUCAGGGAAACUUGAGCUAAUACCGGAUACGCCCUUUUGGGGAAAGGCUUGCUGCCGGAGGAUCGGCCCGCGUCUGAUUAGCUAGUUGGUGAGGUAACGGCUCACCAAGGCGACGAUCAGUAGCUGGUCUGAGAGGAUGAUCAGCCACACUGGGACUGAGACACGGCCCAGACUCCUACGGGAGGCAGCAGUGGGGAAUAUUGGACAAUGGGCGCAAGCCUGAUCCAGCCAUGCCGCGUGAGUGAUGAAGGCCUUAGGGUUGUAAAGCUCUUUUAUCCGGGACGAUGAUGACGGUACCGGAGGAAUAAGCCCCGGCUAACUUCGUG
This 435-nucleotide ribosomal RNA is filed under the name uncultured bacterium. Its description in RNAcentral is "partial 16S ribosomal RNA". It matches the Rfam family "Bacterial small subunit ribosomal RNA", at positions 29 to 507 of the family's 1533-position model. The record is from RNAcentral.